UGAUUUUGGGGCCGUUUUGGGGUGAUUUGGGGCAGAUUUGGGGCUCACACUUGGAGGAACGCCGGCCCAGGUGCUCGUUGUCCACCGUGUCGCUCGACCACUCGACUUUUUUAUCCGGCUUCCUCUUCCUCAGCUUCAGCGUCAGACUGCGCUGCUCCUGCGGUCACUCGGGGUCACUCGGGGUCAUUCAGAGCUCAUUGGGGUCACUCGGGGUCACUCGGGGUCACUCGGGGUCACUCGGGGUCACUCAGGGGUCACUCAGAGCUCAUUGGGGUCACUCGGGUCACUCGGGGUCACUCGGGGUCACUCAGGGUCACUCAGGGGUCACCAGGGGUCAUUCAGGGGUCACUCGGGGUCACUCAGGGGUCACUCAGGGUCACUCAGGGGUCACUCAGGGUCACUUGGGGUCACUCAGGGGUCACAUUCCCAUUCCCAACCCCCAAAUUCCCAAAUUCCCAAUUCCCAGUAUUCCCAGUAUUCCCACUAUUCCCACUAUUCCCAGUAUCCCCAAUUCCCAAUUCCCAGUAUCCCAAAUUCCUGGUUCCAAAUAUUCCCAAUCCCCAAAUUCCCAAAUUCCCAAUUCCCAAAUUCCCAGUAUUCCCAGUAUCCCAAAUCCCCAAAUUCCCAAUCCCCAAUUCCCAAAUUCCCAAAUCCCAAAUUCCCAGUAUUCCCAGUAUCCCCAAUAUCCCCAAUUCCCGGUUCCCAGUAUCCCAAAUUCCCAACCCCAAUCCCAAAUUCCCAAAUCCCCAAAUCCCCAAAUUCCCGGUAUUCCCAGUAUCCCCAAUUCCCGGUAUUCCCGGUAUCCCCAAUUCCCGGUAUUCCCGGUAUCCCCAAUUCCCAAAUUCCCGGUAUCCCCAGUAUUCCCAAUUCCCAGUAUUCCCAGUAUCCCCAAUUCCCGGUUCCCAGUAUCCCCAAUCCCCAAAUUCCCGGUAUCCCCAGUAUUCCCGGUAUCCCCAGUAUUCCCGGUAUCCCCAAUAUCCCCAAUAUCCCCAAUUCCCAAUUCCCGGUAUUCCCGGUAUCCCCAAUUCCCGGUUCCCAGUAUCCCCAAUUCCCAAUUCCCGGUAUUCCCGGUAUCCCCAGUAUCCCCAAUUCCCGGUAUU
This 1100-nucleotide long non-coding RNA is filed under the name Cyanistes caeruleus (blue tit). RNAcentral describes it as "lncRNA (ENSCCEG00000004637.1)". Lineage: Eukaryota; Metazoa; Chordata; Aves; Passeriformes; Paridae. The record is from RNAcentral.